Molecule: ribosomal RNA, 253 nt
Filed under: uncultured bacterium
Lineage: Bacteria
Description: partial 16S ribosomal RNA
Rfam family: Bacterial small subunit ribosomal RNA
Source: RNAcentral
UACGAAGGGGGCUAGCGUUGUUCGGAUUUACUGGGCGUAAAGGGCGCGUAGGCGGAUUUUUAAGUCGGGGGUGAAAUCCCGGGGAUCAACUCCGGAACUGCCUUCAAUACUGAAAGUCUGGAGCACGGUAGAGGUGAGUGGAAUUCCGAGUGUAGAGGUGAAAUUCGUAGAUAUUCGGAGGAACCCCAGUGGCGAAGGCGGCUCACUGGACCGUUGCUGACGCUGAGGCGCGAAAGCGUGGGGAGCAAACAGG